Molecule: ribosomal RNA, 506 nt
Filed under: uncultured bacterium
Lineage: Bacteria
Description: bacterial SSU rRNA
Rfam family: Bacterial small subunit ribosomal RNA
Source: RNAcentral
GCAACGCCGCGUGAGCGAUGAAGGCCUUCGGGUCGUAAAGCUCUGUCCUCAAGGAAGAUAAUGACGGUACUUGAGGAGGAAGCCCCGGCUAACUACGUGCCAGCAGCCGCGGUAAUACGUAGGGGGCUAGUGUUAUCCGGAAUUACUGGGCGUAAAGGGUGCGUAGGUGGUUUCUUAAGUCAGAGGUGAAAGGCUACGGCUCAACCGUAGUAAGCCUUUGAAACUGGGAAACUUGAGUGCAGGAGAGGAGAGUGGAAUUCCUAGUGUAGCGGUGAAAUGCGUAGAUAUUAGGAGGAACACCAGUUGCGAAGGCGGCUCUCUGGACUGUAACUGACACUGAGGCACGAAAGCGUGGGGAGCAAACAGGAUUAGAUACCCUGGUAGUCCACGCCGUAAACGAUGAGUACUAGCUGUCGGGGGUUACCCCCUUCGGUGGCGCAGCUAACGCAUUAAGUACUCCGCCUGGGAAGUACGCUCGCAAGAGUGAAACUCAAAGGAAUUGACGG